Molecule: ribosomal RNA, 253 nt
Filed under: uncultured bacterium
Lineage: Bacteria
Description: partial 16S ribosomal RNA
Rfam family: Bacterial small subunit ribosomal RNA
Source: RNAcentral
UACGGAGGGUGCUAGCGUUGUUCGGAAUCACUGGGCGUAAAGCGCGUGUAGGCGGCCCAUUAAGUCUGAUGUGAAAGCCCGGGGCUCACCCCCGGAAGUGCAUUGGAAACUGAUGGGCUCGAGUCCCGGAGAGGAGGGUGGAAUUCCUGGUGUAGCGGUGAAAUGCGUAGAUAUGCGGAGGAACACCGAUGGCGAAGGCAAUCCCCUGGGCCUGCACUGACGCUCAUGCACGAAAGCGUGGGGAGCAAACGGG